GGCGGGGCAGGGACCUGCAAGCUUGCUGUUCCUAGGACUUUGUCCACUAGGACUACAAUAAACAGAGUAAAAGGAACAUUUCCUUGCGCUCUGGGCUAUCUUGGCUGGGUAAAUCUGGGCAUAAAGGGAAGGAAGUCAUGAAGUUCAGAAGGUGACAAGAUGCCUCCUGAUCACUCCCGGAUCCUGAGCCUGCUCCCGACAGGAUGUUAGCUAUAGUCCUUUAAAGAUAUACAGAGGCUUUCAUCUGAUGUCUGUAUAUCCCUGGUGGUACAUAUAACAAUAAAAAUCUAAAACGCAA
Fukomys damarensis (Damara mole-rat) is the source of this 298-nucleotide long non-coding RNA. RefSeq lists it as uncharacterized. The record is from RefSeq and is a predicted model, not a curated record. The transcript is spliced from 2 exons. NCBI's taxonomy places the organism in Eukaryota, Metazoa, Chordata, Mammalia, Rodentia, Bathyergidae.